UUGAGUUUACAAACUCUCAAACCCUCUGUGAACCUUUAUAUCGUUGCUUCGGCGGGACUGCCCCGGGUGCUUUCGGGCUCCGGAUCCAGGCGCCCGCCGAGGGUAUAAACACUCUUCUUAUUAUCAGUUUUUAUUCUGAGUGGCAUAAGCAAAAAUAAAUCA
This 162-nucleotide unclassified non-coding RNA is filed under the name uncultured Hypocreales. RNAcentral describes it as "sequence contains ITS1". Lineage: Eukaryota; Fungi; Ascomycota; Sordariomycetes; Hypocreales. The record is from RNAcentral.